RNAcentral lists this ribosomal RNA (490 nucleotides) under uncultured bacterium. RNAcentral's name for it is "partial 16S ribosomal RNA". It matches the Rfam family "Bacterial small subunit ribosomal RNA", at positions 30 to 507 of the family's 1533-position model. The record is from RNAcentral.
AUUGAACGCUGGCGGCAGGCCUAACACAUGCAAGUCGAACGGUAACAGGAAGAGGCUUGCUUCUUUGCUGACGAGUGGCGGACGGGUGAGUAAUGUCUGGGAAACUGCCUGAUGGAGGGGGAUAACUACUGGAAACGGUAGCUAAUACCGCAUAAUGUCGCAAGACCAAAGAGGGGGACCUUCGGGCCUCUUGCCAUCGGAUUUGCCCAGAUGGGAUUAGCUAGUAGGUGGGGUAACGGCUCACCUAGGCGACGAUCCCUAGCUGGUCUGAGAGGAUGACCAGCCACACUGGAACUGAGACACGGUCCAGACUCCUACGGGAGGCAGCAGUGGGGAAUAUUGCACAAUGGGCGAAAGCCUGAUGCAGCUAUGCCGCGUGUAUGAAGAAGGCCUUCGGGUUGUAAAGUACUGUCAGCGGGGAGGAAGGGAGUAAAGUUAAUACCUUCGCUCAUUGACGUUACCCGCAGAAGAAGCACCGGCUAACUCCGUG